UGCAUGUGAAUGUGCAUAUGUACGCGUGUGUGUACACAUGAAUGUGUGCAUGUGAAUGUUAUAUG
This 65-nucleotide microRNA precursor is filed under the name Loxodonta africana (African savanna elephant). RNAcentral describes it as "miRNA (ENSLAFG00000024690.1)". Lineage: Eukaryota; Metazoa; Chordata; Mammalia; Proboscidea; Elephantidae. The record is from RNAcentral.